Molecule: ribosomal RNA, 497 nt
Filed under: rhizosphere bacterium GWR06
Lineage: Bacteria
Description: bacterial SSU rRNA
Rfam family: Bacterial small subunit ribosomal RNA
Source: RNAcentral
GUUGGGUUAAGUCCCGCAACGAGCGCAACCCUUAUAUUUAGUUGCCAGCACUUCGGGUGGGCACUCUAGAUAGACUGCCGGUGACAAACCGGAGGAAGGUGGGGAUGACGUCAAAUCAUCAUGCCCCUUAUGACCUGGGCUACACACGUACUACAAUGGCCGGUACAACGGGCUGCGAAAUCGCGAGAUGGAGCCAAUCCCAACAAAGCCGGUCUCAGUUCGGAUUGCAGGCUGCAACUCGCCUGCAUGAAGUCGGAAUUGCUAGUAAUCGCGGAUCAGCAUGCCGCGGUGAAUACGUUCCCGGGUCUUGUACACACCGCCCGUCACACCACGAGAGUUUAUAACACCCGAAGUCGGUGGGGUAACCGCAAGGAGCCAGCCGCCGAAGGUGGGAUAGAUGAUUGGGGUGAAGUCGUAACAAGGUAGCCGUAUCGGAAGGUGCGGCUGGAUCACCUCCUUUCUAUGGAGAAUCGUCUUCUGCAAUGAAGACAUUCAAA